Molecule: long non-coding RNA, 1059 nt
Filed under: Linum usitatissimum (flax)
Lineage: Eukaryota; Viridiplantae; Streptophyta; Magnoliopsida; Malpighiales; Linaceae
Description: long non-coding RNA (LUSI_LNC006156)
Source: RNAcentral
UCAUAAAUACAACUUGUACAUUCAUCAAAACAUCCAUUUCAAAGUCUCUAAACGCAACACAUCGUCUUUAUUAGGUACUCCUACAACAUGGAAAGAAACAUAAAAACUUGUUAGAUAUACGCAUUAGAUUUGUAAGUCUUAUCAGUACAAAUGUAAGAAUUUUUCAAGAACAUAAAGGGGAUGAAGAACUCAAACACACGAACGUUUUAAUGAUUUCGCAGGUUUGUAUCUGCGAAACAUAGCAACUUAUCAAUAUAAUCAUAAGUUCGUAUUUGUAAACAUAUAUAACACAUACAAAAGUCUGAACUAUCUACACGUUCGUGUUUUAUCAGUACUUUUUGCGAGUUCAUCAAGAACACUAGGGACAUGAAGCACCCAGAAGGUAUAUAUAAACAAACUCACAAAUAUCUAUAUGUUCGUAAGAGACAGUGAAAACAAACGAACCCACUAACGCCUAUGUUCGUCCCAGUGGGUCGUGAACACAAUGUUCGUAUCGGCAAGUGAAAACAAAUGAAUUACCACGACAUGUAUUCUUCUUGGUGACGUGAACAAAACAUUCAUAUCAGGCAGUGAAACAAACGUACCGCACGACUUGUGUUCGUCCCGAUAGGAUAUGAACAAAACGCUUGUACCAGACAUAAAAACCCCAGAAAAAUGCCCAAAGAAUAUAAUGAAGAACAUAAAAAAUCCAGAACAACCAAAUCCACGAGAACUCGAAGAACACGAAGAAGAAGAGCUUAAAAGAGAGCUCACCUACCUUUUUGAAAUUUCCGUUGCACCAUUUUAGUAUUUCUUCGUUCAAAGAUCCGCCAAAAUGAACAUAAAUCAAUCAUCCAUUCAAAGCAAUCGAGAGAGAGAAAACUCAUAUCAAACAAAACCAUAAAAACUCGAAAAAUAAGAGAACAAAAUGGAGAUAACCCAUAUUUUCGAGGUUUGUUUACAUUCUUCUAAUGUUUUCUUGGCAAAGAUCCAUCUUGAUAAUGCUAAAAUCCGUCUUGAAGAGCAAAAAACUAACUCAGAUCUAGCAUCCAUUCAAAUAAAUUAAGAGAGAAAAUGGGG